AUGGCUUCGGGUUCACCCACUCUGGCGCUCAAGGCAGCCAUCGUCGCCGCCCUCCUCGCCACGCUGGCUCUUCCUUCCCUGGGGCGUUGCCGUCCGGCGCUCGAGCCGCCAGCGCCGGCUCCGGCUCCAGCAAAAGUAUCAUGCGGUGAGUACUGUAGGAACUACUGCCCCAUGAAUUCGACGUGCCAGACCACCGUUCGCCUUCAGUGCGCCCCCCUAUGCAGAGGGGAUGGGCAGGUGGGAUGCAACGGCUGCUGGAGCAUGGGCAUGAACGACUGCCUCAACGCCUGCGUCAAGGACUGCGAGGCCAAGUGCGCCGGCGGGUAA
RNAcentral lists this ribosomal RNA (327 nucleotides) under Triticum aestivum (bread wheat). RNAcentral describes it as "partial small subunit ribosomal RNA". The record is from RNAcentral. Lineage: Eukaryota; Viridiplantae; Streptophyta; Magnoliopsida; Poales; Poaceae.